This 68-nucleotide transfer RNA is filed under the name Marmota monax (woodchuck). RNAcentral describes it as "tRNA.Ala". The record is from RNAcentral. Lineage: Eukaryota; Metazoa; Chordata; Mammalia; Rodentia; Sciuridae.
GGAUUGUGGCUCAGAGGUAGAGUGCUUGCCUAGCCUGUGUGAGGCACUGGGUUCGAUUCUCAGCACCA